GAAGCCGUGCCGGAGUGGUUACGGAGCGGAUUGCAAAUCCGUCAACGGCGGUUCAAGUCCGCCCGGCUUCUCCA
RNAcentral lists this transfer RNA (74 nucleotides) under Rhizobium leguminosarum. RNAcentral's name for it is "tRNA-Cys". It matches the Rfam family "tRNA". Rfam says of the family: Transfer RNA (tRNA) molecules are approximately 80 nucleotides in length. Lineage: Bacteria; Pseudomonadati; Pseudomonadota; Alphaproteobacteria; Hyphomicrobiales; Rhizobiaceae. The record is from RNAcentral.